RNAcentral lists this long non-coding RNA (4882 nucleotides) under Homo sapiens (human). RNAcentral describes it as "non-protein coding lnc-FCN1-1:2". The record is from RNAcentral. Lineage: Eukaryota; Metazoa; Chordata; Mammalia; Primates; Hominidae.
CUCUCUUGUCUGCUGCCCGGCGAGACGUGACUUUGUUCCUCCUUUGCCUUCUGCGAUGAUGGUGAGGCCUCCCCAGCCACGUGGAACUGUGAGUCCAUUAAACCUCUUUCCUUUAUAAAUUACCCAAUCUUUACGAGCAGUGUGAGAACGGGCUAAUACACCUAUCGUACAAUCCAGCCAUUUCCAAGCCUGGAUAUUAACCCGAGAGAAAUGAAACCAUAUAUCUACACAAAGACCUGUGCACAGAGAUUCAUAGCAGCCUGGUUUGUCAUGGCCCCACCUGGAAGCAACCUAAAUGUCCAUCAACACCUGAAUGGAUACAUAGCUGUGGUCUAUCCACACACAGAGUAUGACUCUGCUGAUCGGAUACACAGCUGUGGUCCAUCCAUCCACGGGGUACGACUCCGCUGAAUGGAUACACAGCUGUGGUCCAUCCACACACGGGGUACGACUCCGCUGAAUGGAUACACAGCUGUGGUCCAUCCACACACGGAGUAUGACUACAGUGAAAGGAAACAAACUGCUGUGCACAGUACAACAUCAUGACCCUUAAAAUAGGUCUGCCGGGGGGAGGAAGACAGGCAGCAGAGAGUGGAUAGGAUGUGAUUUCACUCGUAAAAAAUCUUAGGAAAAUAAGCUAUAGUGACAGAGAAAAGCACAGAUGUUGCCUGGGGACACGAUAAGUGGGGCCGGGUGGGGGUGGGUGGGAUUGCAACGAGGAAGCUUCUGGGGGUGACAGAUCUGUUCCUUGUCUCAAUUGUGGUGCUGGUUUCACGGGUGCAUCCUCUGUCAAACUACUCAAGUUGUGCACUUCAAAGCCAUGUAGCUUAUUCAAUGUCAAGUACACCCCUCUAGGCUCUUAGAAAAGAAAAUCCUGUGGGACCCAGAGCAUAAGCUUUCCGAUGGCUCUUUCCUCUCGGGUAAGGGGCAGCCAGGACUCCUGCCCAUCCCAGUCCACCUCCCCACAGACCCACAUCCUCCCUCUCAGCACCGGGUCCUAGAAGGAGCUCGGCAGGGGCCGGGCAGGGAGCCCAGUGCCCACUCUACACAGCUCCCUGGUCCCGAAGGGUCUGGGGCCCCAGAGCCAGAGAGGGGUGAAGAACAGAGGACUAGGUGUGGGCUCAGCGUGCGGUCACAGGGGAGUGAGCACGCAGCGGCGGCACAGCCCAGCCCCGCUCCUCUCCACUUCCUGCCCUUUUCCUGGUCAGGAUGAUGAUAUGACCUGACAGGUGGGACCCGCGAGAUGCCAGGCAUGAGCCCCCCAUCCAACUGUCGAGAAGGAGGACACAGGGACAGCCCAAACAGUGGCCCCCAGACCAGGAUGCAGUCACAGAUCCCAGAAACCACAGGCCCCGAAAACCACACUCAGUGGCCAAGCCGCGGGAAUCCAUGGCAGAGACAAUUCAUUCCACCAGUCCUCAGCGCCGAUCCUGGAAUAUUGCCCUGCCUGAUUGGGAUCACACGUUGAGUAAAUUGUAGAAGAGUGGUAACAGUAAUAAAACCCAGGCCUGCCCACUCAGGGGCUUUCGUAGCGCUCAAUCAACCAAUCAAUCAAUAAGUACAAGGCAUAUUAGAAAACAAAAGACACUUUGGGCAAGGAAACCAAAACCUGAGGGGCUGUACCAUGUCGGCCGUGCUGGCAACGAGGUCGCCUGACUCUGGGGUCAGAGGGCAGCGCCUCUGGGUGGAGAAUGGAGAGAGGGCACCGCCGAGCCCAGUGCUGGUGUUGGGGGAGACCUGUGCAGUGAGGAUUCUGACCCGCUUAAGGGAGGAGGCUCUGAGUGCACAAGCUGCCUUCUGCCAGCUUCCCUCCCACCUCCCUCCCACCCCACCUUCGUCCUAAAACCUCUCCCUCUUCUGGGGCUCAGUGUCAUCUCCCCUCCCCUGGGAGCAUCUGACGACUCAGAGUCUGGGGGCUUAUACUGUGCUCUCCGUGUCCCCCUUCCUUCAUCACAGUGGAGUGGCUGUGCGGUCAGUGGUGGGCUGGCUGUCCCCCCGCAGGGCCGGGCUCUGUGCUCAGGGCAGGGUCUCCUUUGCUCACCGUGGCUGCUUGGGGCUCAGUACAGGAGGCACCCAGGGCACCCCCCGAGGGCACUUAUUGCUGCCACUCAGGCACGGCCUCCCUCCACUGAGGUAACAUGGGCUUGGCCCCCCGAGGGGCACAGCUGAACUCAGAGGCCAGGUGGUGAAGGUGCAGGGAGUGGCAGGCGUCACCCUGGGGGUGAAGGCUGGGGCUGGGAACUUCUGGGCACCCCCUGGCCCUUGCCAUGCCCAGGUCUACACUCGGCCCUCCCAGUGAGCCCACGGACCUCUGCACCCACACUAGGCCGGGUGGGCCAGGCUCCAGGCAGCGGAGUCGGAACCGUGGGGCUGCGAGACCUGCUGCCUCGGGGGGCAAUGGCCUGGGGGCUGCUGUCUCCCACAUGAAGCUGCAGCCAGCAGAACUCGGGGAAACCGGCAUCCAGUGUCCCACAGAGGGGGGUUUGCCAGGUGCCACCAGCCACCUCCACAUUAACUCCUUCAGGCCAGGCUGCCCCUUGGGCAGAGGAACCCUGCCUAGCCCAGGGGCUGUCCACGGAGUCUGAGAGUGGACAGGAGGACCACCAGAGUCGGAUCCGAUUCAUCCUCUCAGGCCUGGGGCAAACCCACCCCAUGUGAAUGAAGCCCCCUAACAACAGGAAUUUGUGGGCCCCCCCCUCCUGCAGCCAUCUGUCCCCCUUAUGCUGAGGGCAGGAGCCAAGGCUCCUCCAUGCUCCCCACACCCUCUCCUGUGAGCCUCAGCCCCUCGGAGGCCUCUGCUAGAGGCUUAUGGGUCCCUGCAGGUCACAGGUUGAGAAGAGUCAUCUGUGAAGCAGCCGCACUGGGCCUGCCAGCAUUUCCACCUGGAGAGUUGAGUCGAGCAGAGAAAAGGCAGAAGGAAGCCUCGGAGAGACUAACAGAAGCAAAAGCAAAGCCAGAGGCCUAGGGAGGGCCCUGAUUUCCAGAGGCGGGGAAGGGAGCCUGCGGGGGUCUGAGCCCUCUCCGGGAGAGAGACCGAGGCUGGGGAGAACCCUCCACCCUCUGCGGGGUCUGGGCUCAGGGCAGCUGGUCCCAGGAGAGGGCCUACUUGGCUGAUCAGAAGGAAAACAGGUGUUGUCAGGCCUUAUGCAACCCACGGUUUUGUGGGCUCAGCUUUCUGGCUAAUUCCAAGAGGAAGCGCUUGAGGGAGGAGGACCUUUCCCUCUCCCAUGGGCCCAGAUCCUUCUCACCCACUCGCCCCCUUCAAAUCUUUGCUUUGUUCUUGAUGAGGGAUUCACGUGCACACAGUCACCUUUGGUACAACGUGUGAGGCUCUCAUGCAUGAGUCCCAAGGGACCCUAGGAGGCAGGUGGCAGGAAGCCCCGGCACGGGGGCCGAGUGGGCAGAGCAGGGGCCAGGCGGCCGGGGUCAGGUGGCUCUGAGUGCAGAGGUCGGCGAACACUCUCUGUAAAGGACUGAUUAAUACACAAUUUAGGAGUUGCGAGUCAUACGGUCUCCGUCCCAACUACUCUAUUCUGCCUGGCACUUGGAAGCUUCCGGGGAUGAUAGAAACCAACCAGAGACAAUAUGGAAGCCAUGGGCAUGGCUGUGCCGAUAAAACUUUAUUCACAAACAGGCACGGUGGCCCUGCUUUGUCUUAGCCAGUGGGGAACUCCCUCAGCCCUAGGGCAUCUGAUCCACCCAUAGGGCCAAAUCACAGGGAAGCAAGGACGGAUGAGCAGCACAGUGGUGUGGUCACUGGUCAGGGCAGGGCAAACGGCCAUGGCAUCCCACCAUUGUCUGUGAGGCAAGCAAGCACUGAUGGCUGCGGUGAGGGAGGCACGCUGGGGCUUCGCCUAGCCUUGCAGAUGGGAGGCAGGGGGCUGGAUGCUGGCACUGGGUGCAAAGCUCUGCGGGCCAUGCCUAUAAGGGACUGGUGGGAGCUCCCUCUUCCCAUGAGGAUGGGGGCCAUGAUCCCCACAUUGCCCUCUUGGUGAGGGCUGAGGGAUGCGCUCCUCCAGCCAGGGUGUGUGGAGAGAACCUCUGACCUCAGCGCCGGGCUAGGUGGGCCGCACCUUCAUCUCCGACACCUUGUAGCUGUAGUUGUUCCCUUUCCCCGACUUCCAGUUGAUGCCGUUUGUAAAGCUGUCACGGGCCCCCCCGAGGUAGACACCAUUCAGGUGUGACAGGUGACAGCUGGCAUACCACCAGGCUCCCUGAUAGUGCACGGCACAGUUUUCAGCAUCUCGGUCGUUGUCUUGGUCUUCGGUGGAGAAGGGGUAGUUGUUGUGGUGUGUCAGAAUCACCUGCUCAGAGGGAAAAAUAGGGCAUUCUCCAUGAAGUUCCAGGGAGCCUGGAUCUGCUCCGCUGGGUCCUUGGUCUGUCCUCACCCCUCGGGCACUGGUGAGGCGGAGAGGUGAUGAGGGGCAGAGACCUGGCGUUGGAGGCCACCCCGAUCUAGGGGAGGCCCAUGUCCUCAGUGCUGUGUGUCCUGUGGCAGAUCACUUAACUCCUCUGAGCUUUGUGCUCUGGGCUGCCAAGUGGGGAUAGUAACAAGGUUGUGGCCAGGGUUGGAUUAGAGAAUGUGCAUUUUAAAUCUCUUAUUGUAAUUUAUGGCAUUUAGAAAGAGCUUAAUAAACAGUGGGCACUUUCAAUAACUAAUGACCACCAAUAUUUCUAAGAAACUUGGGGAAUUGGGGCUGACAAAGCAUUUUCCCUCCCAGACCUUGGGAAUGUGGUUGUAGAAUUACGGGGCUGGAAGGGGCUUUCUAGGUCCUCUGGAGAGGGGCAGUGUGGGGUCCAAGGACACAGAGCCAGGUGUGGCACAGCUGCAGCCAAACCAAGGUUGUUUACUUCUUUUUUUUUUUUUUUUAAAGUAUCCCCA